This 1466-nucleotide ribosomal RNA is filed under the name uncultured Bordetella sp. RNAcentral's name for it is "partial 16S-23S ribosomal RNA intergenic spacer". It matches the Rfam family "Bacterial small subunit ribosomal RNA". Lineage: Bacteria; Pseudomonadati; Pseudomonadota; Betaproteobacteria; Burkholderiales; Alcaligenaceae. The record is from RNAcentral.
GUUCGAUUCACGAUCAGAGAUUGAACGCUGGCGGGAUCUUUUACACAUGCAAGUCGAACGGCAGCACGGACUUCGGUCUGGUGGCGAGUGGCGAACGGGUGAAUGUAUCGGAACGUGCCUAGUAGCGGGGAUAACUACGAAAGCGUAGCUAAUACCAUACGCCCUUCGGGGAAAGCAGGGGACCUUCGGGCCUCGCACUAUUAGAAGCGGCCGAUAUCGGAUUAGUAGUUGGUGGGGUAACGGCUCACCAGGGGCGACGAUCCGUAGCUGGUUUGAGAGGACGACCAGCCACACUGGGACUGAGACACGGCCCAGACUCCUACGGGAGGCAACAGUGGGGAAUUUUGGACAAUGGAAACCUGAUCCAGCCAUCCCGCGUGUGCGAUGAAGGCCUUCGGGUUGUAAAGCACUUUUGGCAGGAAAACGGCCUGGGAUAAUACCCCCGUGCAACUGACAGUACCUGCAGAAUAAGCACCGGCUAACUACGUGCCAGCAGCGCGGUAAUACGUAGGGUGCAAGCGUUAAUCGGAAUUACUGGGCGUAAAGCGUGCGCAGGCGGUUCGGAAAGAAGAUGUGAAAUCCCAGAGCUUAACUUUGGAACUGCAUUUUUAACUACCGAGCUAGAGUGUGUCAGAGGGAGGUGGAAUUCCGCGUGUAGCAGUGAAAUGCGUAGAUAUGCGGAGGAACACCGAUGGCAGAGAGCGGCCUCCUGGGAUGCUGCGAGCGCUCAUGCACGAAAGCGUGGGAGCAAACAGGAUUAGAUACCUGAAAGUCCACGCCCUAAACGAUGUCAACUAGCUGUUGGGGCCUUCGGGCCUUGGUAGCGCAACUAACGCGUGAAGUUGACCGCCUGGGGAGUACGGUCGCAAGAUUAAAACUCAAAGGAAUUGACGGGGACCCGCACAAGCGGUGGAUGAUGUGGAUUAAUUCGAUGCAACGCGAAAAACCUUACCUACCCUUGACAUGUGGAAUCCCGAAGAGAUUUGGGAGUGCUCGCAAGAGAACCGGAACACAGGUGCUGCAUGGCUGUCGUCAGCUCCGUGUCGUGAGAUGUUGGGUUAAGUCCCGCAACGAGCGCAACCCAUGUCAUUAGUUGCUACGAAAGGGCACUCUAAUGAGACUGCCGGUGACAAACCGGAGGAAGGUGGGGAUGACGUCAAGUCCUCAUGGCCCUUAUAGGUAGGGCUUCACACGUCAUACAAUGGGUCGGAACAGAGGGUCGCCAACCCGCGAGAGGCCAAUCCCAGAAACCCGAUCGUAGUCCGGAUCGCAGUCUGCAACUCGACUGCGUGAAGUCAGGAAUCGCUAGUAAUCGCGGAUCAGCAUGUCGCGGUGAAUACGUUCCGGGUCUUGUACACCGCCCGUCACACCAUGGGAGUGGGUUUUACCAGAAGUAGUUAGCUAACCGUAAGGAGGGCGAUUACCACGGUAGGAUUCAUGACUGGGGUGAAGUCGUAACAAGGUAG